RNAcentral lists this ribosomal RNA (1492 nucleotides) under uncultured marine bacterium. RNAcentral's name for it is "bacterial SSU rRNA". It matches the Rfam family "Bacterial small subunit ribosomal RNA". The record is from RNAcentral.
GAGUUUGAUCAUGGCUCAGACUGAACGCUGGCGGCAGGCCUAACACAUGCAAGUCGAGCGCGAAAGUCCUUCGGGGCGAGUAGAGCGGCGGACGGGUGAGUAAUGCUUGGGAAUCUACCUAGUAGUGGGGGAUAACCUGUGGAAACGCAGGCUAAUACCGCAUACGUCCUACGGGAGAAAGCAGGGGAUCUUCGGACCUUGCGCUAUUGGAUGAGCCCAAGUCGGAUUAGCUAGUUGGUGGGGUAAUGGCUCACCAAGGCGACGAUCCGUAGCUGGUCUGAGAGGAUGAUCAGCCACACUGGGACUGAGACACGGCCCAGACUCCUACGGGAGGCAGCAGUGGGGAAUAUUGGACAAUGGGCGAAAGCCUGAUCCAGCCAUGCCGCGUGUGUGAAGAAGGCUCUAGGGUUGUAAAGCACUUUCAGUAGGGAGGAACGGUUGUUGACUAAUACUUAACAAUUUUGACGUUACCUACAGAAGAAGCACCGGCAAACUCCGUGCCAGCAGCCGCGGUAAUACGGAGGGUGCGAGCGUUAAUCGGAAUUACUGGGCGUAAAGCGCGCGUAGGUGGUUUGUUAAGUUGGAUGUGAAAGCCCUGGGCUCAACCUAGGAACUGCAUCCAAAACUAACUCACUAGAGUACGAUAGAGGGAGGUAGAAUUCAUAGUGUAGCGGUGGAAUGCGUAGAUAUUAUGAAGAAUACCAGUGGCGAAGGCGGCCUCCUGGAUCUGUACUGACACUGAGGUGCGAAAGCGUGGGUAGCGAACAGGAUUAGAUACCCUGGUAGUCCACGCCGUAAACGAUGACAACUAGCUGUUGGGAGACUAUGUCUUUCAGUGGCGCAGCUAACGCUUUAAGUUGUCCGCCUGGGGAGUACGGCCGCAAGGCUAAAACUCAAAUGAAUUGACGGGGACCCGCACAAGCAGUGGAUCAUGUGGUUUAAUUCGAUGCAACGCGAAAAACCUUACCUACUCUUGACAUACUUGGAAGCUCUUGUAAUGAGAGUGUGCUUUUAAGAACCAAGAUACAGGUGCUGCAUGGCUGUCGUCAGCUCGUGUCGUGAGAUGUUCCGUUAAGUCGGAUAACGAGCGCAACCCUUACCCUUAUUUGCCAGCGAUUCGGUCGGGAACUAUAAGGGGACUGCCGGUGAUAAACCGGAGGAAGGUGAGGACGACGUCAAGUCAUCAUGGCCCUUACGAGUAGGGCUACACACGUGAUACAAUGGGAGAGACAGACGGACGCUAAGCCGCGAGGUGGUGCUAAUCCUAGAAACUCUCUCGUAGUCCGGAUUGGAGUCUGCAACUCGACUCCAUGAAGUUGGAAUUGCUAGUAAUCGCGGAUCAGCAUGCCGCGGUGAAUACGUUCUCGGGUCUUGUACACACCGCCCGUCACACCAUGGAAGUGGAUUGCACCAGAAGUAGAUAGUCUAACCUUAGGGAGGGCGUUUACCACGGUGUGCUUCAUGACUGGGGUGAAGUCGUAACGAGGUAACC